This 81-nucleotide transfer RNA is filed under the name Bacillota bacterium. RNAcentral's name for it is "tRNA-Leu". It matches the Rfam family "tRNA". From Rfam's summary of the family: Transfer RNA (tRNA) molecules are approximately 80 nucleotides in length. Their secondary structure includes four short double-helical elements and three loops (D, anti-codon, and T loops). Further hydrogen bonds mediate the characteristic L-shaped molecular structure. tRNAs have two regions of fundamental functional importance: the anti-codon, which is responsible for specific mRNA codon recognition, and the 3' end, to which the tRNAs corresponding amino acid is attached (by aminoacyl-tRNA synthetases). tRNAs cope with the degeneracy of the genetic code in two manners: having more than one tRNA (with a specific anti-codon) for a particular amino acid; and 'wobble' base-pairing, i.e. permitting non-standard base-pairing at the 3rd anti-codon position. The record is from RNAcentral. Lineage: Bacteria; Bacillati; Bacillota.
GCGCGAGUGGUGGAAUGGCAGACACGCCAGCCUUAGGAGCUGGUGCCGCAAGGCGUGGGGGUUCAACUCCCCCCUCGCGCA